This 207-nucleotide ribosomal RNA is filed under the name uncultured bacterium. RNAcentral's name for it is "partial 16S ribosomal RNA". It matches the Rfam family "Bacterial small subunit ribosomal RNA", at positions 568 to 774 of the family's 1533-position model. The record is from RNAcentral.
AGCGUAGACGGAUGGACAAGUCUGAUGUGAAAGGCUGGGGCUCAACCCCGGGACUGCAUUGGAAGCUGCCCGUCUUGAGUGCCGGAGAGGUAAGCGGAAUUCCUAGUGUAGCGGUGAAAUGCGUAGAUAUUAGGAGGAACACCAGUGGCGAAGGCGGCUCACUGGACGGUAACUGACGUUGAGGCUCGAAAGCGUGGGGAGCAAACA